GGACUACUGGGCGUAAAGCGUGCGCAGGCGGUUUUGUAAGACAGCUGUGAAAUCCCCGGGCUUAACCUGGGAACUGCGGUUGUGACUGCAAGACUGGAGUGUGGCAGAGGGGGGUGGAAUUCCACGUGUAGCAGUGAAAUGCGUAGAGAUGUGGAGGAACACCGAUGGCGAAGGCAGCCCCCUGGGUCAACACUGACGCUCAUGCACGAAAGCGUGGGGAGCAAACAGG
RNAcentral lists this ribosomal RNA (229 nucleotides) under uncultured bacterium. RNAcentral describes it as "partial 16S ribosomal RNA". It matches the Rfam family "Bacterial small subunit ribosomal RNA", at positions 552 to 776 of the family's 1533-position model. The record is from RNAcentral.